Molecule: ribosomal RNA, 398 nt
Filed under: uncultured bacterium
Lineage: Bacteria
Description: bacterial SSU rRNA
Rfam family: Bacterial small subunit ribosomal RNA
Source: RNAcentral
GGAAUAUUGGACAAUGGGGGCAACCCUGAUCCAGCCAUGCCGCGUGCGUGAAGAAGGCCUUAGGGUUGUAAAGCGCUUUCACCUGCGAAGAUGAUGACGGUAGCAGGCGAAGAAGCCCCGGCCAACUCUGUGCCAGCAGCCGCGGUAAGACAGAGGGGGCAAGCGUUGCUCGGAAUCACUGGGCGUAAAGGGCGCGUAGGCGGGAUGGCAAGUCAGUCGUGAAAUCUCUCGGCUCAACCGAGAAACGUCGGCUGAUACUGCCGUUCUUGAGGGAUGCAGAGGAGACUGGAAUUCCCGGUGUAGCGGUGAAAUGUGUAGAGAUCGGGAGGAACACCGGUGGCGAAGGCGGGUCUCUGGGCAUUUCCUGACGCUGAGGCGCGAAAGCGUGGGGAGCAAAC